UGCCGAGAGCUACAGUAGGAAUAUGGCAGAAAGUAGCGGACCUGACGGAGGUGGACUAUUAGCACUUGUUGGAAGAAAGAUCCAGGACCUUGGUCCAGAAUUUUCCCGUCCAUGGAGAUGGAGAUCGAGAAGGCGGCGAUGGACGGCGGCGCCAAUGGCGAUUCCCCUGUAGAUCUGGUGUUUCAGGUAGUUCAUCUUGCCGGAGGGUGUGCCCCUCACGACGAUGCAGAUAGUAAGAGCCAGCACGCCGGCGGAGUCUGCAAUUAAUCCACGAGCUCCCGGGUGGAUUAAGUGGAUAUGUUCUUCUGAUUGAAACCUUGGUCCAGCUUAGAACUAUACAAAUCCCUCCCGUGCCGGCUUGCUCUAUUUAGGUUCUCUAAUUCAUCUCCGGGGAAUGGGAUCGUAGUUGGCAUUGUGAGUUGUUUACCUUUUUAUGAGCUCGUGAGUUGAUGGACCGCGGCGUGGAACCGGACAACGACGGGAGUAUGGACAAUGGUCCAGUGGAGUGUGGGGAGUCAGCAGUGAAGCCGGAUCGAGGUCGCCCUUGUGGUGUUCAUAAGAUUAGUUAGACCAAAGUAGUUAAAUUUAGGUUGCCUCUUGUCUGUUAAAAAAAGAGUAAUACUUCCAUGAGGUAAACAAUGGGUGAAUUAGUCCCUGUAAUCAUGUCGGUAUGAAUUGGUGCUGUAUCAGACAGGAAGGGAAGGGUAUUGUAUCGUUCUCCAUGCCCGGCAGGGUGCGCGAGAUGGAGGGGUGGGGUGUGGUUUGGCCAUUCACGUUUGUCAUCAGCGGCAAGAUCGCCUGUGAAUUGUCUUGGUUUAUGUAUCUUGGAGCGGAACAUCGGUUCGCGUGUGGUAAAACAACCAAAGUUGUUUUGGUCCAGAUUUUGUGUUGGAUCACUGAUUUAUGGAUAUGUUUUUUUUCACACACAGUGCGUGUAGGCGCUAAUCCGAUGGAAUGAACACCCCGUCAUGGUAGGAUGAGGGCCCUCGAAAAAUCCAUAAGAGGCUUUGCGAGACCGGAGAGGGACAGAGAGGAAGUUGUUAAGCCAGAGUUAGGAACUACAUCUGACUCGUCGAUAGCCUAGGAAGGUAGGAAAGAUGCAACAGUGUUCCUGGACACCAAAAGAACACCUGCAGUAGACUAGCGAAAAAUACGAUUUGCAUUCAAGUGUGAUGCUUGUAUGAGCUCAUGAUGAGUUGAUGUUGUAAACGUUGUUGCUCUAUAACUGCUUAGUUGUAAUGCAGAGCUUGUUAAUGCGACUUGCUAAUCUUUCUUGGUAGCUAGACUGAUUGACUAGACAUGGUUGUGCACUUGCAUUACUAAUCUACAGGAAACAUAUGAGGUUCAAAAUUUGAAUGAGGGAACAACGCUCGGUCCGCCUAGUCGCUACAAGAGGCCCGAUGAGAAUCUAGUUUAAUCGGAGGAGCAAUGACACCUUCAAUCAGCUGGGAAAGCUCAGGGGUACUCACGUCAAGGUUGGCUUGGUCCACGCCUGAUGCAAUUAGCAAUGAGGUGUUCUCGCAAAAAAGAACAAUGAGAUAUACUUAUUGAGUGAGGGUGGUGGCUUGCCAUGAACGGCUUAAGCACGGUCCAGGUGUUUCUCACACAAGGUCCAAGUUUCCUGCCAUGCAGACCGUACAGGACCAACGGGCUUCUACCGCAGUAAAUGUGAAGCAGAUGUGGGCCUAUGCACUAUUCAAUACUGAUUUCAUCCAAGCAAUACAAAGCGAUAUACAGCUGGCGGCUUAGAUCCCUAUGUAGACCAUGGGUUCAGAUAAUGAGAGCAUAUGGUCGUACGAGCCAUAUCGAAUUUCCGCAUACAAAGGUUAAUUAUUAGAGUGGGUACUAAAACAUAUUCUAUUUUAUAAUAUGUUUUAUUGUCAUCUUCAGAUUAUGUGCCUCACUGAGAGAAGGCACCCAAAGAUGAGGGAAGAACACAUCGUCAUAUGUGGUCUAUUUUUAGUUUUCACUAGCAAAAGAGACAGUGCAUUGUAAUAGGAGAAACAAUACGACAUAUGCCUGUAACCCAAUAAUCAUGAUU
Molecule: long non-coding RNA, 2041 nt
Organism: Triticum dicoccoides
Lineage: Eukaryota; Viridiplantae; Streptophyta; Magnoliopsida; Poales; Poaceae
Exons: 3
Source: RefSeq, a predicted model, not a curated record